GACGAACGCUGGCGGCGUGCUUAACACAUGCAAGUCGAACGGAAAGGCCCCUUUGGGGGUACUCGAGUGGCGAACGGGUGAGUAACACGUGAGUAACCUGCCCUUGACUUCGGGAUAACUUCAGGAAACUGGGGCUAAUACCGGAUAGGAAUCCUUGCUGCAUGGUGGGGGUUGGAAAGCUUCGGCGGUUUUGGAUGGACUCGCGGCUUAUCAGCUUGUUGGUGGGGUAGUGGCUUACCAAGGCUUUGACGGGUAGCCGGCCUGAGAGGGCGACCGGCCACAUUGGGACUGAGAUACGGCCCAGACGCCUACGGGAGGCAGCAGUGGGGAAUAUUGCACAAUGGGCGGAAGCCUGAUGCAGCAACGCCGCGUGCGGGAUGACGGCCUUCGGGUUGUAAAACGCUUUCAGCAGGGGCGAAGCUUGUGGUGACGGUACCUGCAGAAGAAGCACCGGCUAACUACGUG
Molecule: ribosomal RNA, 465 nt
Filed under: uncultured bacterium
Lineage: Bacteria
Description: partial 16S ribosomal RNA
Rfam family: Bacterial small subunit ribosomal RNA
Source: RNAcentral